CAAAGAGGGAACAUGGAAGAAGGAGAGCAACACUGGCCUGGCCAUUUUAAAAGCAGCUCAAAAAGUGAGAGGGCAAGGUUGGAUCGUCUCUGCCAAAUCAGGGCGGUUGGAGGCUACAGUCGAAAGAGAUAGUAAGAAAGAUUAAACAUCUUGUCAACGCAUCUGCUUACUGCGAAGAAAUACAGCAGAAGGGGAAAAAAGAAAAGGAGAUCCAACAUGGAAGUUGUACUAAUUCAUAUCUAAAAUUACUAGAGAACUUGCAUCCUGUAAAUCUGCUCCCAGUGAAAGUGAGAAGGCUUAAUACAAAGACAAUGAGGUUAGCUUAUUAUUUAUGAGAUUCAUUAAAAAUUAUAUUUCACAUACAA
Sceloporus undulatus (fence lizard) is the source of this 365-nucleotide long non-coding RNA. RefSeq lists it as uncharacterized. The record is from RefSeq and is a predicted model, not a curated record. NCBI's taxonomy places the organism in Eukaryota, Metazoa, Chordata, Lepidosauria, Squamata, Phrynosomatidae. The transcript is spliced from 3 exons.